AUAUGUUUCUUUAUUUCUUUUAUCCUCUUUUUACUUUUCUCUUGUUUUUUUUUUUUUUUUUUUUUUUUCGAAGACAGCCAAUAAACAAACAACGGGUCUUCUGUGACCCGGCGGAAGUCGCAAGUCUACCUACAGAUCAGUGAAUCAAUGCUUUUUUCUAGAAUAGUGUGUUUUUUUCUAGAAGAGAGUGACCGUACGCGCGUCUACAGAUAUUAUCCAUUUCGUUGGGGAUGAUAGUAUUUAUUCCAUCUCUCUGUGAAGAUGUGUGGCUUCGUA
Molecule: non-coding RNA, 276 nt
Filed under: Lotharella globosa
Lineage: Eukaryota; Cercozoa; Chlorarachniophyceae
Source: RNAcentral